This 2211-nucleotide ribosomal RNA is filed under the name Escherichia coli. RNAcentral describes it as "partial 23S ribosomal RNA". It matches the Rfam family "Bacterial large subunit ribosomal RNA", at positions 1 to 2228 of the family's 2925-position model. Lineage: Bacteria; Pseudomonadati; Pseudomonadota; Gammaproteobacteria; Enterobacterales; Enterobacteriaceae. The record is from RNAcentral.
GGGUUGUGAGGUUAAGCGACUAAGCGUACACGGUGGAUGCCCUGGCAGUCAGAGGCGAUGAAGGACGUGCUAAUCUGCGAUAAGCGUCGGUAAGGUGAUAUGAACCGUUAUAACCGGCGAUUUCCGAAUGGGGAAACCCAGUGUGUUUCGACACACUAUCAUUAACUGAAUCCAUAGGUUAAUGAGGCGAACCGGGGGAACUGAAACAUCUAAGUACCCCGAGGAAAAGAAAUCAACCGAGAUUCCCCCAGUAGCGGCGAGCGAACGGGGAGCAGCCCAGAGCCUGAAUCAGUGUGUGUGUUAGUGGAAGCGUCUGGAAAGGCGCGCGAUACAGGGUGACAGCCCCGUACACAAAAAUGCACAUGCUGUGAGCUCGAUGAGUAGGGCGGGACACGUGGUAUCCUGUCUGAAUAUGGGGGGACCAUCCUCCAAGGCUAAAUACUCCUGACUGACCGAUAGUGAACCAGUACCGUGAGGGAAAGGCGAAAAGAACCCCGGCGAGGGGAGUGAAAAAGAACCUGAAACCGUGUACGUACAAGCAGUGGGAGCACGCUUAGGCGUGUGACUGCGUACCUUUUGUAUAAUGGGUCAGCGACUUAUAUUCUGUAGCAAGGUUAACCGAAUAGGGGAGCCGAAGGGAAACCGAGUCUUAACUGGGCGUUAAGUUGCAGGGUAUAGACCCGAAACCCGGUGAUCUAGCCAUGGGCAGGUUGAAGGUUGGGUAACACUAACUGGAGGACCGAACCGACUAAUGUUGAAAAAUUAGCGGAUGACUUGUGGCUGGGGGUGAAAGGCCAAUCAAACCGGGAGAUAGCUGGUUCUCCCCGAAAGCUAUUUAGGUAGCGCCUCGUGAAUUCAUCUCCGGGGGUAGAGCACUGUUUCGGCAAGGGGGUCAUCCCGACUUACCAACCCGAUGCAAACUGCGAAUACCGGAGAAUGUUAUCACGGGAGACACACGGCGGGUGCUAACGUCCGUCGUGAAGAGGGAAACAACCCAGACCGCCAGCUAAGGUCCCAAAGUCAUGGUUAAGUGGGAAACGAUGUGGGAAGGCCCAGACAGCCAGGAUGUUGGCUUAGAAGCAGCCAUCAUUUAAAGAAAGCGUAAUAGCUCACUGGUCGAGUCGGCCUGCGCGGAAGAUGUAACGGGGCUAAACCAUGCACCGAAGCUGCGGCAGCGACGCUGAUGCGUUGUUGGGUAGGGGAGCGUUCUGUAAGCCUGCGAAGGUGUGCUGUGAGGCAUGCUGGAGGUAUCAGAAGUGCGAAUGCUGACAUAAGUAACGAUAAAGCGGGUGAAAAGCCCGCUCGCCGGAAGACCAAGGGUUCCUGUCCAACGUUAAUCGGGGCAGGGUGAGUCGACCCCUAAGGCGAGGCCGAAAGGCGUAGUCGAUGGGAAACAGGUUAAUAUUCCUGUACUUGGUGUUACUGCGAAGGGGGGACGGAGAAGGCUAUGUUGGCCGGGCGACGGUUGUCCCGGUUUAAGCGUGUAGGCUGGUUUUCCAGGCAAAUCCGGAAAAUCAAGGCUGAGGCGUGAUGACGAGGCACUACGGUGCUGAAGCAACAAAUGCCCUGCUUCCAGGAAAAGCCUCUAAGCAUCAGGUAACAUCAAAUCGUACCCCAAACCGACACAGGUGGUCAGGUAGAGAAUACCAAGGCGCUUGAGAGAACUCGGGUGAAGGAACUAGGCAAAAUGGUGCCGUAACUUCGGGAGAAGGCACGCUGAUAUGUAGGUGAAGUCCCUCGCGGAUGGAGCUGAAAUCAGUCGAAGAUACCAGCUGGCUGCAACUGUUUAUUAAAAACACAGCACUGUGCAAACACGAAAGUGGACGUAUACGGUGUGACGCCUGCCCGGUGCCGGAAGGUUAAUUGAUGGGGUCAGCGCAAGCGAAGCUCUUGAUCGAAGCCCCGGUAAACGGCGGCCGUAACUAUAACGGUCCUAAGGUAGCGAAAUUCCUUGUCGGGUAAGUUCCGACCUGCACGAAUGGCGUAAUGAUGGCCAGGCUGUCUCCACCCGAGACUCAGUGAAAUUGAACUCGCUGUGAAGAUGCAGUGUACCCGCGGCAAGACGGAAAGACCCCGUGAACCUUUACUAUAGCUUGACACUGAACAUUGAGCCUUGAUGUGUAGGAUAGGUGGGAGGCUUUGAAGUGUGGACGCCAGUCUGCAUGGAGCCGACCUUGAAAUACCACCCUUUAAUGUUUGAUGUUCUAACGU